UUCACUAAGUAAAAUGUUCAUAAUUCUAAAAUCUUACACUUCAAUUAUCUUGCUCAUAUACUACACAAAAACUAGAGCUCUUAAGUGCAAAGAUCAAUUUUUUACAACACAAGACUGUACAUUGGCUAAGAACUAGACCUAGAACUAUAUAGCAUAUAGUUUCUUAUACUGAUCUUCAGGGAUCUCUGAUUCUGACAUGAUUGAUACGGACCGUGACAACGUCUUGCUACUCCGAGCUGAUUUCCUCUGACUUCUCAGAUUCGAAGACUCAAUACGAUGCAUAACAACCCAGUAACACAGUGUACCUAGUGUCGCGACCAUGAUAAAAGUUCCCAUAAAAGUUACUGCACUUGCCAUCCAUCUUUCAUCUUUACCUAUAACAAUAUAUGACAAUGCAAGAAACGCUACGGAGACAAAAACACAAGCCAACCACAUUAG
RNAcentral lists this unclassified non-coding RNA (438 nucleotides) under Hevea brasiliensis (rubber tree). Lineage: Eukaryota; Viridiplantae; Streptophyta; Magnoliopsida; Malpighiales; Euphorbiaceae. The record is from RNAcentral.